GCAGGUAUAGCUCAGUGGUAGAGCGCGUGCUUAGCCUGCAGGAAGUCGUGGGUUCAAUCCCAGCUACCUCUA
This 72-nucleotide transfer RNA is filed under the name Camelus ferus (Wild Bactrian camel). It matches the Rfam family "tRNA". Rfam says of the family: Transfer RNA (tRNA) molecules are approximately 80 nucleotides in length. Their secondary structure includes four short double-helical elements and three loops (D, anti-codon, and T loops). Lineage: Eukaryota; Metazoa; Chordata; Mammalia; Artiodactyla; Camelidae. The record is from Rfam by way of RNAcentral.